Molecule: ribosomal RNA, 301 nt
Filed under: uncultured bacterium
Lineage: Bacteria
Description: partial 16S ribosomal RNA
Rfam family: Bacterial small subunit ribosomal RNA
Source: RNAcentral
CAGUCGCCAGGGAAUACGUAGGGUGCAAGCGUUAAUCGGAAUUACUGGGCGUAAAGCGUGCGCAGGCGGUGUUGUAAGACUGAUGUGAAAUCCCCGGGCUCAACCUGGGAACUGCAUUGGUGACUGCAACGCUGGAGUGCGGCAGAGGGGGAUGGAAUUCCGCGUGUAGCAGUGAAAUGCGUAGAUAUGCGGAUGAACACCGAUGGCGAAGGCAAUCCCCUGGGCCUGCACUGACGCUCAUGCACGAAAGCGUGGGGAGCAAACAGGAUUAGAUACCCCCGUAGUCCCUGUCUCUUAUACA